RNAcentral lists this long non-coding RNA (1074 nucleotides) under Cyanistes caeruleus (blue tit). Its description in RNAcentral is "lncRNA (ENSCCEG00000006172.1)". The record is from RNAcentral. Lineage: Eukaryota; Metazoa; Chordata; Aves; Passeriformes; Paridae.
AUUAACUUGUUCCUGGCAAUCAGCCACCAGGGCAGGAGGUGGACUUGAUUUACAAGUCCUGAUUGCCAAGAAAGUCACCCAUAAUUGCCUGUGAUCUUGCAGCUUUCUAGUUUUCAUCUUGAUCUCGUGUUCCCCUAUAAAUGGUGCUUGGAGGGGCUGGUUUUGGGUGUUUUGAGGUCUCUCUCUACAGGUUCUUUCCUUCAUAAAACACCAUUUCCAUACUUAUUGCUACUGAUGUGAUUGAACCUUUGCUGUGAUGUGAUUUUGGGUGCACAUCUCGAUCCAUGUGAAGCUGUUGGGUUUGGGGAGUUUUGGGGAGUUUUGGGGAGGAUGUUUCCUGGUGUCUGAGCAGAGAGUGGUAUCCAAUCUGUGAGACAGGAGCAGCUGUACCUGCAGGAAGAGCCUGGGGGGAGUGGGUUUUUGCUGAAGUGGAGAGGAAUAAAAGCAAGAGAAUCACGACUGAAAAGCCCAGAGAACAGGAGCUGGAGCCCUCCUUGCAGCAGGACAGGUAUUUUACCAGCUGGCAACACACGGUGGAGAUUUCUGCACUGCUCAGAAGGUCUGGUUGAAAUUUUGUGCAAGUUCAGCUCCAUGGGGCUUGGCAAUUUCACACUCUCAUCGUGGAAGAGAUUUCAAGAAAGGCUCCUCCUGUCCAGGAAGCCAUGGGCCAUUUACUGUGCAGUUUGUGCUCUCAGGUGCUUCUGUUCCUUGCUGACAUGAAUUCCUUGUGCAGUUCAGACUCGGAGCUCUUCAGUGAGUGCUGCCUGUCCCAGCCGCUACUCCAAGGGGGAAAUUGUCCUCUAGGAUUGGGUGAUGGAGGCAGGUCCUUUAGUGCUCCUGUGCACCCCAUGGGACAAGAGAUUUGAUAUUUCUAUUAAACAGAAAAAUAAUUUUUAAUGGGCAAAAUGUACAAUUCCUGUGCAACAUCCCUCCUCCUAAAGACAAGGCACUAAAAUACUGGAAUUUCCUCCAAAUGAAGAAAGUGUUGGCAGUUCCAGCUCUGUGUAAUUGUUUCCCAACUUCCAAGUACACCUACAAAAUAAUAUUGCCUGCAGCACAACAUUGGAGAUGAUU